CCUACGGGAGGCAGCAGUGGGGAAUAUUGCACAAUGGGGGGAACCCUGAUGCAGCGACGCCGCGUGAGUGAAGAAGUAUCUCGGUAUGUAAAGCUCUAUCAGCAGGGAAGAAAAUGACGGUACCUGACUAAGAAGCCCCGGCUAACUACGUGCCAGCAGCCGCGGUAAUACGUAGGGGGCAAGCGUUAUCCGGAUUUACUGGGUGUAAAGGGAGCGUAGACGGCAGAGCAAGUCUGAAGUGAAAGCCCGGGGCCCAACUGCGGGACUGCUGUGGAAACUGCCCGGCUAGAGUGCUGGAGAGGUAAGCGGAAUUCCUAGUGUAGCGGUGAAAUGCGUAGAUAUUAGGAGGAACCCCAGUGGCGAAGGCGGCUUACUGGACAGUAACUGACGUUGAGGCUCGAAAGCGUGGGGAGCAAACAGGAUUAGAUACCCGAGUAGUC
RNAcentral lists this ribosomal RNA (440 nucleotides) under uncultured bacterium. RNAcentral's name for it is "partial 16S ribosomal RNA". It matches the Rfam family "Bacterial small subunit ribosomal RNA", at positions 338 to 795 of the family's 1533-position model. The record is from RNAcentral.